Molecule: long non-coding RNA, 3134 nt
Organism: Daphnia magna
Lineage: Eukaryota; Metazoa; Arthropoda; Branchiopoda; Diplostraca; Daphniidae
Exons: 8
Source: RefSeq, a predicted model, not a curated record
AUGAUGAUGCGGACGGCCAGCAGGGAGGCUGAGCUGCUGCCGGGUAUUUGGUUUCCUUGUCCUUCCACUUGCUGAGGUCCAUCCGCGGUAGGACGGAGCUCUUGCACGACACUCGAGGAUUGCUAUAACAUUGGAUCACUUGAUGUCCGAUGCUAACCAAGGGUCAUUGGAAAGAUCGUAAAAAAAUGUUUAAGGAAAAACAUAAAGUUGUAGGGCAGUACAUUUGUAUCUCGUUGCUAGCUUUGGAUCGAUACCGGGAACUUUCUUCACACUCUCCAUAUCUUUUAGAAAGGCUGUCACUCCUCACAUCCGACAUAUGUGAAACAAGCCUGACUAUUAAACCCAACUUUUUACAUCAAAAGAUUUCCAGCCAAUGAAGCGGUUUUAGAGCAAAACGGAAUCAAGAUGGUUUUAUCGCAACACCUUUUUAAAAUUUGAAUUACUCAUAAGCUGUAGUUACCAAGUAAAAACGAACUUUAAAUUACUAUUAUAUAGUGCUAAUACUAACUAAAUAAGUCGUUAAUGUUGGAAAUUCACCGCUAGGCUAUCCUGGUAAUAAUAAAAUACUUUUUUAUUGCCACAAAAGAUGUCGUAGCAGUAGACAGCUUUGACUGUCAUGCAUGGCCUGCUGUCCAACAUGGUCUCCACGGUAUAUACCGACCGUUCGCUAAGAUUGCGUUCCUGCUUUCCCUCUCUGUAGUCCUAUCUACAAGUAGUGCCGCCAACGGCCGAAGGGGGAAUUAAAAGCUUCUAGACAGUUUUGACAAACGAAAUUUACUGGCGGUAAUUUACAAGUGGUUACUACUUUGUGAUAAAAUCAGUGCCUCGACUUAAACCAUGGAUAAUUUAGAAGAUGAAAAGGAUUUAAGAAGAGCGCUAAAGUACGAGGAGAAAAAAGCAAAGCAAAGGGAGAAGAGAAGAUUAGGACCUAAUGGUGGGACUGGAGCUAAAGGAUAUGGUCUUUUUAAAAAAGAUAGGUUGUUCCCACAAGCAGAUAAACCUGCUUCUUCAACAAAGUUGCCUAACAAACCUAAGGCGAAGAAAAUAAAAAGAGUUACUGUGAAAUCACCAGAAUUCCUAACUGGUGGUUGUGCAGAAAAUUCUUGUAACCAAAAACAAUAUCCUGAAAAAACCAAGGAUGGUGAUAGCAAUCAACAAGAAGGCAAUGAGAUUCAAACACCAACAGAAGAAGUAACGAGUAAGUUACGAUAUGCUGCUGUCAUGAAACAACAGGCAAUCGUGGCAAUAGAUUUACCCAUUUGCUAAUGUCUUUUGGGACAAUUUUGGACAAUUUUGAAAAUUAUUCAUUAAUAUUUGAUUGUCUCAAGCAGACUAGCUUACUGCCGUUAGACAUGUUAGUGUAAGAAUAUCCAGGCAGAAUUUCUAGCAACACAUCGUUUGGUACUGUCCCUUCUUUAAUUUUAAAAGACAUGCUGUAUGUCUCAUCAAUUAAGAUUUUAGAUCCGAGAGCCCUCAGCAAAUACAACAACAAGCCCAUAUACAAGUUGUGGUUCAAGAUUCGUACAACUAGGAUUCGGCCGAACACCCAUUCAGAAUAGAAUGCUUGACAGGUAAAAGGAUGAGUGUUUACGUUGCAAAUGUGAAACACAUGGAAAAGGGCUGACAAAAUGGCGAUUUUGAUUACACAGAUUUGGAACUUAAGGUUUCUUGUGUUGGUUAUUUCAAGGCAGAAAUAACUGUCCUAAAAACAAUUGGUACGACAUGCUCAUCUAUUCUUCUCAAUGACAAAAUGAGAAAAAUGGAUCAAGUAACGUUAAGGAACCAAAAGAUUCCUUGCAGCUGAUGAGAUUAAUAAGGCCAUCAAGCUUCAACCUUCCAUUUCCAUGUAUCUGAAAACUUCGGUGAGGCAAAGAAAAUUUUAGUCUUAUUCUUCGACCCAUCCUUAGGAAACAUAAAGAUCAAUAAGAUCACGAAAAACGACGGGAAGGAAUACUCAAACAAACAAAAUGUGGAGUUUUGCAUCAACGAUGGGUUUGUUUUGGUUCGGAUUCAAAAGCACAAGCUGCUUACGUUGAAUAACAUCGUCUGAUCUACGAUUAGCUCUGGUUCAAAAAUCAAUAAAUUUUAAGUAUUACUACUUAACCAUGGACAGGAUUUCAUCAUUCAGGCUAUUAAGCCUAAUUCAGGCUAAUUUUAAUCAUUCUUCCUUCAUAUUAGGCAAAACGCUGCUGAAAGAAAAGUAGAUACCUAUGGAGGAAGGUUACGCAAAGUGCGAUGUACAUGCAAUGAGGACUUGAAAAGUCCUUGGAAGAUCUUUGUUGACAAUACGAUUUGACUGUAAGAACUUCUCCCGAAGAUUCAGAUGAGGUUGAGAAUGAGAUCAUUCAGUUUGUUUUGGAUGCGAUGGUAUGGAUCCCUCUACAUGGGAGCCAAAGAUUGCCCUGUAGAUUUUCGAAGAGAUCUUGAUCGUAUUAAAGCAGCAUCUCACUAUGCUGAUGAAGAUCUGUUAAAUCACAUUUCAACAAGCUUUUAAUGCAAUUAUAGAUGGGAUCCCUUAAGAUCGCUUGGAGUCGACGUCAAAAAUAAACUUAGGAUUUUUAUGGGCGAUUAAUUCAAACGACAGCGGAAGAUACGGAACGUUACAAAAUAGAAGGAUGCUCUCUAUAUACAGUAGAGAACUACUUGUAGUGCAUCAAUUCGUUGGUCAGUUAGUGAUAUUCUGCAAAUUUUAUGAAGAGAAUUUUCAUCGUGCUAAAGUUGUACCAGGUAUAUCAGCACCCUUAGAGUUCUUUCACAGUGCGAUGCCUAAAACAAUUCUGCUUGUUACACAUAAGAACGGCUGUCGGAGCAUUGGUAAAUCUGGCCCUCGAAAGUCAAAUGACGUUAGACUUUUCGUUUUGCUUGUAUGGCAUCAAUGAGCCCCAUCAGGGAAUUCGUAGGCCUGAAACGAAUUUUCCUCAAUGAUAUUGAGAUUUAUGACUUUGUUUCUCGGCAACUUUCAGGAUUAAAGAUAUUAACGCCUCGAAGCCCACCUGUUAUCUUCACCCAACUUCUAAUCAAUUACCACCCGGAAUAUACGCUACGAGUAAAAGGGAGGAUAGAAAAAAGAAUGCCCGGAGAAGCAAUUGAUUCUUUUGCAAUCAGUAUGUCCUUUCGUAACCUCCUAAUUGCUA